RNAcentral lists this ribosomal RNA (439 nucleotides) under Blastocystis sp. subtype 2. Its description in RNAcentral is "bacterial SSU rRNA". It matches the Rfam family "Eukaryotic small subunit ribosomal RNA", at positions 457 to 910 of the family's 1831-position model. The record is from RNAcentral. Lineage: Eukaryota; Bigyra; Opalinata; Blastocystidae.
CGUGGAGGUAGUGACAAUAAAUCACAAUGCGGGACUGUUAGUCUUGCAAUUGGAUUGAGAACAACGUACAACUCUUAUCGAUAAGCCAUUGGAGGGCAAGUCUGGUGCCAGCAGCCGCGGUAAUUCCAGCUCCAAUAGCGUAUAUUAACGUUGUUGCAGUUAAAAAGCUCGUAGUUGAAGUGAGGGAGUGUGUGUUCAUGAGAGCUAGUUUCGAGUGUUCACAACCUCCCCCCUCCAAUCGGUGUAGUGGGGUAUUCAGUUAUUUCACUACUCCUUUGGUCGUUUACUGUGAGAAAAUUAGAGUGUUCAAAGCGGGCGUUUGUUUGAAUAGAUUAGCAUGGAAUAAUGAUUGAAGGCUUUCGUGUUCGAUUUGAUUGGUUUGUUCAUGGAAGCAAGGUUAAAAGGAACAGUUGGGGGUAUUCAUAUUCACUAGUUUUUU